RNAcentral lists this ribosomal RNA (375 nucleotides) under uncultured eukaryote. RNAcentral describes it as "partial 18S ribosomal RNA". It matches the Rfam family "Eukaryotic small subunit ribosomal RNA", at positions 592 to 976 of the family's 1831-position model. The record is from RNAcentral.
CAAUAGCGUAUAUUUAAGUUGUUGCAGUUAAAAAGCUCGUAGUUGGAUUUCGGUUGAGAGCGGCCGGUCCGCCGUUUGGUGUGCACUGGCUGGUUUCAACUUCCUGUAGAGGACGCGCUUUGGGCUUAACGGUCUGAACGUGGAGUCUACGUGGUUACUUUGAAAAAAUUAGAGUGUUCAAAGCGGGCUUACGCUUGAAUAUUUCAGCAUGGAAUAACACUAUAGGACUCCUGUCCUAUUUCGUUGGUCUCGGGACGGGAGUAAUGAUUAAGAGGAACAGUUGGGGGCAUUCGUAUUUCAUUGUCAGAGGUGAAAUUCUUGGAUUACCGAAAGACAAACUGCUGCGAAAGCGUCUGCCAAGGAUGUUUUCAUUGA